Molecule: ribosomal RNA, 250 nt
Filed under: uncultured bacterium
Lineage: Bacteria
Description: partial 16S ribosomal RNA
Rfam family: Bacterial small subunit ribosomal RNA
Source: RNAcentral
UACGGAGGAUCCGAGCGUUAUCCGGAAUUAUUGGGUUUAAAGGGUGCGUAGGCGGCCAAUUAAGUCAGGGGUGAAAUACAGCGGCUCAACCGUUGCAGUGCCUUUGAUACUGAUUAGCUUGAAUGUGGCCGAAGGAGGCGGAAUGGGACAAGUAGCGGUGAAAUGCAUAGAUAUGUCCCAGAACCCCGAUUGCGAAGGCAGCUUCCUAGACCAUUAUUGACGCUGAUGCACGAAAGCGUGGGGAUCGAAC